GGGGAAUUAGCUCAAAAAGGUAGAGCGCUCGCUUAGCAUGGGAGAGGUAGCGGGGUCAAUGCCUGCAUUCUUCA
Molecule: non-coding RNA, 74 nt
Organism: Albula goreensis
Lineage: Eukaryota; Metazoa; Chordata; Actinopteri; Albuliformes; Albulidae
Source: the annotation of a GenBank genome assembly